CCAGGAAGAAGACGCUCUCAGCUGAUUUGAACUCAGUCGAGCUUCGGGGUGUUGUCCGAGGUCCUGG
This 67-nucleotide transfer RNA is filed under the name Pinctada imbricata (Akoya pearl oyster). Its description in RNAcentral is "tRNA-Ser". Lineage: Eukaryota; Metazoa; Mollusca; Bivalvia; Pterioida; Pteriidae. The record is from RNAcentral.